Molecule: ribosomal RNA, 372 nt
Filed under: uncultured organism
Description: bacterial SSU rRNA
Rfam family: Bacterial small subunit ribosomal RNA
Source: RNAcentral
CGUAGGUGGCAAGCGUUGUCCGGAUUUACUGGGCGUAAAGAGCGCGCAGGCGGUCGUGCAAGUCGCGUGUGAAAGCCCCCGGCUCAACUGGGGAGGGUCACGCGAUACUGCUCGACUUGAAGGCAGGAGAGGGAAGUGGAAUUCCCGGUGUAGUGGUGAAAUGCGUAGAUAUCGGGAGGAACACCAGUGGCGAAGGCGACUUCCUGGCCUGUUCUUGACGCUGAGGCGCGAAAGCUAGGGUAGCAAACGGGACUAGAUACCCCGGUAGUCCUAGCCGUAAACGAUGGACACUAGGUGUUGGUGGUAUCAACCCCGCCAGUGCCGAAGCUAACGCAUUAAGUGUCCCGCCUGGGGAGUACGGCCGCAAGGCUA